This is a long non-coding RNA of Triticum dicoccoides, 1604 nucleotides long. RefSeq lists it as uncharacterized. NCBI's taxonomy places the organism in Eukaryota, Viridiplantae, Streptophyta, Magnoliopsida, Poales, Poaceae. The transcript has 5 exons. The record is from RefSeq and is a predicted model, not a curated record.
AGAACCACUCGCAUGCACGACUCGUUCGGCGCCGCCGCCGCUCCAUCCCUUCCACCUGUGACCUCGCCGCUAUCUGGUUCCUCUCCGUUCCCAUCUGCCACCUCUGCCGAGAUCCGAGGCCUCCGACUUGUGGGCUGACGCCACCGCCGCGGAACCCCGGGGCAAGGCAGGGUGAUGCCGCGUUGUGGGUAGCAAGGAGGGGCACACGGGCGUGCCCUGCAUCGAGGAGGAGCUCAGGUACUUUAAAUCGAGGAGGAACACCGCUGUCUUUCUACAUGGUGGCCGCUCCCCUCGAUCCCCUCCAUCGCCUCCGCCGCCGCCGAGGUAAAUCUGAACCUGCUCAGACCACGGGGAGGAUUUCUCUGGUGGACUAUCGCUGGCAAGGUUGGCAUGGGAGUAGGCCCGUACCAUGGGUUUGUGUGGCUGGAGGACCGUGGCCAGUGCUGCGAUUGCCUGAUGUCCAUGUGCAGCAUAGCUCGGCAUGAGGUGAUAUCCUUCUAUGAUAACAUAGCUGUACACAAUUUCUUCAAAGAAAAUUAACAUAUAUAUCAAAGUUGAGAUUUGCAAUGUAUUUAAAUUAGUUCUUAAAUUGCUCCAAAGCUACUGAAAUUUCCCUUAUUAUAUUUUUUUGUAGAUACUGAUUGUUCAAAAUUAAACUCACUACUUAAAUUCCAUAGAAACGAGAGGCUCAAGGAAGCAACAAGUAGGAUGAAGGAGUUAACGGGCAGAAGCAUAGAUCACAGAAAAACAAGAAUAUGUUUGCUCCCCAUGCUUUGCAUUGAUGUAUAGGUUCGGAAGUUUAAAAGCUUCAUGCACUCCCCAUGCUUUGUAUUGAUGUAUAGAUAACCGGUUCAGAGAAAUGCAAACAAUGGUUGGGGGUUCUAAGAAGGAUGACCCUAAAUGGGAGCAUGACAGACACCAUGGUCCAGGAAAUAAGGGGGAAUCCCAUGGUGUCUACUAUGCUUUUAGAAAUCCUAUGCAGUCAGGGAGAUUCCUUCAGAUUUUUGCAUGAUGAGCAGGUAGCUAUAAAGGGUCGUGGUGUCUACUAUGCUUUUCAGAAAGGAUUUACUAUAUUUUUGCAGCAGGCUACAUGCUUUUCUGAAUGACCAUUUAAGGAGUGAACAUGAACUGGUGAUGUAUAUGUUCCAUGCUCCAUGGGGAGGGAACAAGGAUUGAUUUUCGCCGGGAGUAGGAAGAGUAUGACUUGCCUAACAGAAGCACAAACAGAAAUGGACACUCUGCAGUUGCAUCAGACACACCACCACAAAACCUGCUGUGUGCGUCACAAUUCUUAGCAGUGACCGUUACGACCGUGCAAUGCAAGAUUGCUAGCGACAAGGAUUUGAGGAGGACAAGACGGUAGCUAUCGACAAAGAUUCAAGAAGGACCAGAUGCCACUAUGGUGGUUGUAAUAUUAGUCGAGACGAAUCUGAAAAAAUUGAGUAGAGAUGUGGAGAUAUGAUGGAUUUUGCACAAAAAAAACCAGUAAAUUUUUGCUACAGAGAACAUAUCGGUGUGCAUGUAUCGAUUGCACUUGCUUCAUAGCGCAAUACGUUUAUCCUGCUACGAAAAAUGUAUUAUUUUUUAUUAGAGACUAGCAAAAA